RNAcentral lists this ribosomal RNA (252 nucleotides) under uncultured bacterium. RNAcentral describes it as "partial 16S ribosomal RNA". It matches the Rfam family "Bacterial small subunit ribosomal RNA", at positions 524 to 776 of the family's 1533-position model. The record is from RNAcentral.
UACGAAGGGGGCUAGCGUUGCUCGGAAUUACUGGGCGUAAAGGGAGCGUAGGCGGACAUUUAAGUAGGGGUGAAAUCCCGGGGCUCAACCUCGGAAUUGCCUUUGAUACUGGGUGUCUUGAGUGUGAGAGAGGUAUGUGGAACUCCGAGUGUAGAGGUGAAAUUCGUAGAUAUUCGGAAGAACACCAGUGGCGAAGGCGACAUACUGGCUCAUUACUGACGCUGAGGCUCGAAAGCGUGGGGAGCAAACAGG